UGGGUUAUAGUGCACCAGAGCUGUUGGUGUC
RNAcentral lists this non-coding RNA (31 nucleotides) under Mus musculus (house mouse). The record is from RNAcentral. Lineage: Eukaryota; Metazoa; Chordata; Mammalia; Rodentia; Muridae.